UCCUUUAUUAAUGUGAUUUUGUAAAUUACUUCUACUUUUACCGCUAUUGCCGUUUUAUAUAUGUACAUAUUAAUCGAAACUCGUGCGAUUAACGCAGUUUAUCAAUUGUCGAUAUUGUGUGACUUGAUUUGAUUUUGUAAUUUUUAGAUGGCGUUUGUCGUGUGCCCGGAGCACUGCUUCGAUAAGGCGAGUGCUGCUGGCUCUAACCAUCUCACAAACGAAUUUAUUAACACGGGUAACGACUCUUUAUUCCUUAAAAAAAACAAAAAAACUGUGCGUUUGACGUUUUCACAACCGUUUGGUAAGUCAUAUAAUUAUAAUCGAUUCGAUUUCAUAGUUUUUAGACGGCGUUUGUUGUUGUAUCCCGAGCAAUGUUUCCAUAACGGCUCGGCCUAUUGGUUCUAACGGAUAACUGGAUUUAUUGCGCUGACGGUAUCCGUGGUGCCACGAUAACGAGUAAGCUAGAGAUUGAUGACGGCAGUCAUCGCUAUUGAAUUUAUUGCAAGACUGUGCUACCCCAUUGUGGUUCCAGGAUAAUGACUGAGCUAGAGAUUCAUGGCAGUCAUCGUUAUUGGAUUUAUUGCACCGACGGUAUCUGUUGUGCCACUAUAACUAAGCUAGAGAUUGAUGGCAGUCAUCGCUAUUGAAUUUAUUGCAAAGACUGUGCUACCCCAUUGUGGUUCCAGGAUAAUGACUGAGCUAGAGAUUCAUGGCAGUCAUCGUUAUUGGAUUUAUUGCACCGACUGUGCUACCAUUGUGAUGCCAGGAUAACAACACUAACCUAGAGAUUGAUUACAGUCAUCACUAUUGGAUUUAUUGCACGGGUAAUUAAUUUUCAUUUGUUAAAAAAA
Molecule: long non-coding RNA, 851 nt
Organism: Daktulosphaira vitifoliae (grape phylloxera)
Lineage: Eukaryota; Metazoa; Arthropoda; Insecta; Hemiptera; Phylloxeridae
Exons: 6
Source: RefSeq, a predicted model, not a curated record